GGACGAACGCUUGCGACGUGCCUAAGAAAUGCAAGUCGAGCGAGGCAGCAAUGCCUAGCGGCGAACGGUCGCGUAACACGUAAGCAACCUGCCCCAAAGACCGGGACAACGUUUCGAAAGGAGCGCUAAUACCGGAUGUGCCCGCCUGUUGACAUCUUCGGGUGAGUAAAUCAAGCAAUUGGCUUUGGGAGGGGCUUGCGGCCUAUCAGCUAGAUGGUGGGGUAACGGCCUACCAUGGCGACGACAGGUAGCUGGUCUGAGAGGAUGGUCAGCCGGAUUGGGACUGAGAUACGGCCCAGACUCCUACGGGGGGCAGCAAUUAGGAAUCUUGCGCAAUGGGCGAAAGCCUGACGCAGCGACGUCGCGUGGGGGAGGAAGGCUUUCGGGUUGUAAACCCCUUUUGUCGAGGAAGAAACAAAUGACGGUACUCGACGAAUAAGCCCCGGCUAACUCCGUGCCAGCAGCCGCGGUAAUACGGAGGGGGCUAGCGUUGUCCGAAGUUACUGGGCGUAAAGCGCGCGUAGGCGGGUUGGUAAGUCCGCUGUGAAAGCCCGGAGCUCAACUCCGGAGGGUCGGUGGAUACUGCCAGUCUUGAAGGUGCUAGGGGGAGAUGGAAUUACCGGUGUAGCGGUGAAAUGCGUAGAUAUCGGUAGGAACACCAGUGGCGAAGGCGGUCUCCUGGGGCAUUCUUGACGCUGAGGCGCGAAAGCUGGGGGAGCGAACGGGAUUAGAUACCCCGGUAGUCCCAGCCCUAAACGAUGGAUACUAGGUGUCGGGGGUAUCGACCCCCCCGGUGCCGCCGCUAACGCAGUAAGUAUCCCGCCUGGGGAGUACGGCCGCAAGGUUGA
RNAcentral lists this ribosomal RNA (848 nucleotides) under uncultured bacterium. RNAcentral describes it as "bacterial SSU rRNA". It matches the Rfam family "Bacterial small subunit ribosomal RNA", at positions 27 to 897 of the family's 1533-position model. The record is from RNAcentral.